Danio rerio (zebrafish) is the source of this 117-nucleotide ribosomal RNA. NCBI's taxonomy places the organism in Eukaryota, Metazoa, Chordata, Actinopteri, Cypriniformes, Danionidae. The record is from Ensembl.
UGCCACAGCCAUAUCACCCUGCAGCCCAAUAACGGUUACUCACUGAAGCUAAGCAGGACUGAGCCGGGUCAGUACCUGAAAGGAGAUCACAUAGGAAAAUCUAGGUUGCUGUUGGGA